UGCUGUGCCACCGGGCUGGCCCCUGGACACUUCUAAUAUAUUAAAAAAAUUUUUGAAAUCCUGAAACUUUAGCGUUAUUUUUGGACUUAUUUUAGGAAUCUUCCAGCUCAGGACAAUUAAAAACAAAUCUUCCUUUACUUGUUGUGUCCAUUUGAUUUGCUCUGGGGCCUUUAAGAUGACCAGUCACCACUAUGCUAAAACAUUUGUCUCUGUCCUACAUAGCUAUCAUCUUUUCUCACGUUAUUAUUAUAUUUUACUUUUUUUCCUGUGUAUUUUGGUAGUGGGUUUUCAAGUUUGUUGUCCUUAUUGGAAGGCAAUUGUUUGAUUUCUGUAUCGUUAAUCUUGUCCUUUACAGCUUGAAAUGUGCUGGCACUUUGGCUAUUGUAUUCCAGAUUCCUUCUCUUCUUUCCUUACCUCCUCCAGCUACCAUUUUACUUUUGGCUGUGGCUCAGCCAAUUCAUAAUCCCAUUUUUUAUCUCAUUGCAGAAGUUAUGUUUCCUUGAAAUGAGAGUAGAACAGCUGCUGUCUACGGAGCAUCUUUCUUUUUCUUCUAAUAAUUUUCCCCACAGCACGCUCUGCCUCUGCAUCUUCAGUGUGGUGCUCCCCUCUUUGUGUGUGGCAGAGCCAACUUCUCUUUAAUUCCUGUUCAAACCGGUCUGUGCAGGCUUCCCCUCCAUUUACUCUCAUCCCAACCCUGGCAAGACUGUCCAGAUUGUGGAAUGACAGAAUGUGACCACUGAGGGUGUCAUAACGUCCCUGUAACCAGCACUUUGUGACUAAACAGUUGAGAGACAUCCUUGGAAUCUGGAGUUCUGCUCAUGUGAGCAAAGGAGAACCAGCAAGCUUACUCUCUACAUAAUUGGGACAACAUGUGUUCCUGACGCUUCCUGCUACCACUUCUACCACUACCCCAGUGUCUCUGGGUGUCCCCUUUUGAGAACUCUUCCUCACGCUGGGGUUUCCUCCUUCUGCAGCUUGGCAGAGGCCUCUUCCUCAGUCCCCCUUUCUCCAUCAUCACCCCCUAUCAGGAAAGCUUCGGCUAGCAGACCCGCCAUGGCCUCGGGCGCCUCUCACCUAGCGAUCCCAAAAUCACUGGGCAGGCUUGAAUGAGGAGAAGCUUAAAAUCUCAGCCACGAGGGCCCACGCAGAGCUGGGCGCGCACAAGCACCACCUACCGGGUGAAGCUCCCUGCAAAGCCCAUGAAAAAGACCUUGGAUUUGCUAUAUUUCGAUGGGAACAUGAAUCAGUGGGUGAGCCACAAAACAUCUGAAAGACAGAGAGAGAGGGAGGGUAAAGAAGGGAGGUGGGGGAGAAAGAAAGAGAGAGACAGAGAACAAGGUCUGGGUGGAGGAGUCAGAGACGUCAGCCGGGCAGAAGGAGCAGGUGGGCUGGGGCUCACAGAGGCAUUUGCUGGACAGCUGGGACCAGGCCUGCGGGCCACACCUUAGCUGACAGAAGCCGGGGAGCGGGGGUGGGGGGGGGGAACGUGGACUAACAGAUGAGAAGGGGAAGAGCAAACAGAAGUUCCCUAAGGGAGACAAGUAAACAGACACACCUGCCAGCCCACCGGAUAAGCCAUCCUUUGACGUACAAAGAGAAAUGCACAACGUAGACCCCCUGCUCAUAACAAAUGGACAGAGGUCACUGUGUCCGGCAAUUUUAAUUACCUACUAUAUGUUCCAGGAGGGCAGGAAUCCUGUCCAUUUUGCAUACUGCUGUAUCCCUAGCACCCAAGAUAGACCUGACUCAUAGAAGGAUGAGAGAGCCUGAGCCUGUCAGUGGCUGAAGUGACCAAGGAUCACAGAGGAGGAGGAGCUGGAGAUAAGAUGGAGGAGGUGCCAGGAAAGAACAAGAAAUACCCUGGGGGCCUCGGAGGCUUUGGUUAGUUUCCAUAAGCGAAAUCAAUGCAGUGCGAGACUUUCUCAGCUCAAUAACUUAUUAGCAAUUUUUAAUUACUGGAUGUAAUUAAUUCAUCCGAAGUACAGCGGUUCUGUGAAGCACACCAUACGUGCUGCACUGAUAACAUUCUUGCACAUUUGCAGGGUGCUCACAUCAAGACAUUUUCUUGCAUAAAACCUAGAGGAAACAGCCAAAGAACACGCAUUUUUGUUUUAAAUCGUGUUUCUUGAUCCUAGAAAAAGAUAACUAUA
This is a long non-coding RNA of Equus caballus (horse), 2150 nucleotides long. RefSeq lists it as uncharacterized. The record is from RefSeq and is a predicted model, not a curated record. Lineage: Eukaryota; Metazoa; Chordata; Mammalia; Perissodactyla; Equidae.